Long non-coding RNA from Dreissena polymorpha, 387 nucleotides. RefSeq lists it as uncharacterized. Lineage: Eukaryota; Metazoa; Mollusca; Bivalvia; Myida; Dreissenidae. The record is from RefSeq and is a predicted model, not a curated record. The transcript is spliced from 3 exons.
AAGAGACAUUACUUCCGAGUAAUACAGUCAUCGCGAAUUUUACAGUGUUUGCUAUCAGUGAUAUAGUCCCCUCGUCUGGUUCAAAAUGCGACCUUGAUAAAGAGAUUCGGUGCGCCGUUACUGUAUUAGAAUCAAAUGGUGUGAAUCAAUCUGGUCCAGCCUCGUUUAGUGAGCCGGUAUAUUUAAUGCGAGACGGAAUACUUAAGUCUCUGGUUCCGAAUCUAUGCGUUAUAAACAACACCUGCUACUUUGAAAACGAUCAUGAUCCACGAGACCCACAGUAUGUCUGCUACCCUGCAUUGGACCCGUUUUCAUGGAUACGUAACUUGACACUACCUAGAGGUAAAGUUUCAUAUGCUGUUCUUUAUUUGCUGAUUAAGUCAUGUA